This 157-nucleotide ribosomal RNA is filed under the name Fodinomyces uranophilus. RNAcentral describes it as "5.8S ribosomal RNA". It matches the Rfam family "5.8S ribosomal RNA". Rfam says of the family: 5.8S ribosomal RNA (5.8S rRNA) is a component of the large subunit of the eukaryotic ribosome. It is transcribed by RNA polymerase I as part of the 45S precursor that also contains 18S and 28S rRNA. Lineage: Eukaryota; Fungi; Ascomycota; Dothideomycetes; Mycosphaerellales; Teratosphaeriaceae. The record is from RNAcentral.
UCAAAACUUUCAACAACGGAUCUCUUGGUUCCAGCAUCGAUGAAGAACGCAGCGAAAUGCGAUAAGUAAUGUGAAUUGCAGAAUUCAGUGAAUCAUCGAAUCUUUGAACGCACAUUGCGCCCCUCGGUAUUCCGGGGGGCAUGCCUGUUCGAGCGUC